This 240-nucleotide ribosomal RNA is filed under the name uncultured bacterium. RNAcentral describes it as "partial 16S ribosomal RNA". It matches the Rfam family "Bacterial small subunit ribosomal RNA", at positions 94 to 334 of the family's 1533-position model. The record is from RNAcentral.
AGUGGCGGACGGGUGAGUAACGCGUGGGUAACCUUCCUUGUACUGGGGGACAACAGUUAGAAAUGACUGCUAAUACCGCAUAAGCGCACAGUAUCGCAUGAUACAGUGUGAAAAACUCCGGUGGUACAAGAUGGACCCGCGUCUGAUUAGCUAGUUGGUAAGGUAACGGCUUACCAAGGCGACGAUUAGUAGCCGACCUGAGAGGGUGACCGGCCACAUUGGGACUGAGACACGGCCCAA